CUUUAUUAUAGACCGGACGUCUUUACUCCUCAAUUUUAUUACGAGAAAAACCUGAAAUAAUCCAUUUUACCAGUACCAGCUUAAACAUAUUCAAAGUGCAAAAAGUAAAAGAGAGAAUUUCUCUGAGUGACAGGAUACAAAAAUAGAAUGUUGGCCAAAGAAUCAAAGUCACUUAUUAGAAUCCCAAAAAAUCGCAAACUUGUGUUGCAAUAAGCUGGCUACGUAACUCGAAAAACCUCUAGCGAUGGCGAGGAAAAGUUUUCCAUAGAGUUAUACACAAAUUGAAAUCGUUAGCAUAUUUUUAAGGGAAUUCUAUCUACCCAUGCAAAGCCGGGACGGAUCGCUAGUAUAACAUAAAUGAGCCAACCUACGACAAAAGGCUUAUACAGUCCUCAGGAGUGAUAACACAUGAAAUACGUUCUUUCAAUUGAAUUGUCAAUAUUUAUUCUCAGUGAGAUACUAUUAUAUACUGUUUGAUAAAGAUGUCAUCUUACCUUACUAUAGCAACAGAAACGAAAACUAAAAUAUUUAGAAAUUAUAUCUGUCUUUCUAUCUGUCUAUCUGUAUGUUUGUUCCGGCAUCACGCAAAAAAUACUGCACCAAAAUGAAUGCAGUUUUAACAUUUAUAUUUCUAAAAGUCUAACCGAUGUAUGUUUUAUUAGGAUAUGUCAGCUAAAAGAGAUCUAUCUCAUUGAUUUUCCUACUUCUAAAAUCCGCACGUACAAAGUAGCGGGAAAAGCUAGUAAAAACGUUUUUAAUUACUACAAUUUGAUUUUAUUGUUAGCUGCUUUAAUGUCUAUAUAUGCCACAAAAUAAAUUAUUUUCUCUUUUUUCAUUUUUUUUUUUAAUAGUUCUGAUAAAUAGA
Galleria mellonella (greater wax moth) is the source of this 865-nucleotide long non-coding RNA. RefSeq lists it as uncharacterized. Lineage: Eukaryota; Metazoa; Arthropoda; Insecta; Lepidoptera; Pyralidae. The transcript is spliced from 3 exons. The record is from RefSeq and is a predicted model, not a curated record.